RNAcentral lists this ribosomal RNA (250 nucleotides) under uncultured bacterium. Its description in RNAcentral is "partial 16S ribosomal RNA". It matches the Rfam family "Bacterial small subunit ribosomal RNA", at positions 84 to 334 of the family's 1533-position model. The record is from RNAcentral.
CGGUUGACUGAGCGGCGGACGGGUGAGUAACGCGUGGGUAACCUGCCUCAUACAGGGGGAUAACAGUUGGAAACGGCUGCUAAUACCGCAUAAGCGCACAGUACCGCAUGGUACGGUGUGAAAAACUCCGGUGGUAUGAGAUGGACCCGCGUCUGAUUAGGCAGUUGGCGGGGUAACGGCCCACCAAACCGACGAUGGAUAGGGGUUCUGAGAGGAAGGUCCCCCACAUUGGUACUGAGACACGGACCAA